GCAGAGAUAUCGAAGUGGUCAUAACGGGGCUGACUCGAAAUCAGUUUGCUGGCAACAGCACGAGGGUUCGAAUCCCUCUCUCUGCG
Molecule: transfer RNA, 86 nt
Filed under: Clostridia bacterium
Lineage: Bacteria; Bacillati; Bacillota; Clostridia
Description: tRNA-Ser
Rfam family: tRNA
About the family: Transfer RNA (tRNA) molecules are approximately 80 nucleotides in length. Their secondary structure includes four short double-helical elements and three loops (D, anti-codon, and T loops). Further hydrogen bonds mediate the characteristic L-shaped molecular structure. tRNAs have two regions of fundamental functional importance: the anti-codon, which is responsible for specific mRNA codon recognition, and the 3' end, to which the tRNAs corresponding amino acid is attached (by aminoacyl-tRNA synthetases). tRNAs cope with the degeneracy of the genetic code in two manners: having more than one tRNA (with a specific anti-codon) for a particular amino acid; and 'wobble' base-pairing, i.e. permitting non-standard base-pairing at the 3rd anti-codon position.
Source: RNAcentral